RNAcentral lists this transfer RNA (74 nucleotides) under Buchnera aphidicola (Pentalonia nigronervosa). RNAcentral's name for it is "tRNA-Arg". It matches the Rfam family "tRNA". From Rfam's summary of the family: Transfer RNA (tRNA) molecules are approximately 80 nucleotides in length. Their secondary structure includes four short double-helical elements and three loops (D, anti-codon, and T loops). The record is from RNAcentral. Lineage: Bacteria; Pseudomonadati; Pseudomonadota; Gammaproteobacteria; Enterobacterales; Erwiniaceae.
GCGUUCUUAGCUUAGAUGGAUAGAGCAACGGCCUUCUAAGCCGUAGGUCACAGGUUCAAGUCCUGUAGAACGCA